GUCUAGGUCUUAUACAAUAUGUUAAUUGCCUUUACAAAGAUGCAUAAAUUUGAAGAGAUAGAACCUGUCGACAUUUUGGCUGGAUGUGCCCGAUUCAUCAUUGUGGGGCUUGGAGGGGUAUUGUUUGGCAUCGUUUUUGGAUUUAUUUCUGCAUUUAUCACACGUUUCACUCAGAAUAUCUCUGCAAUUGAGCCACUCAUCGUCUUCAUGUUCAGCUAUUUGUCUUACUUAGCUGCUGAAACCCUCUAUCUCUCCGGCAUCCUGGCAAUCACAGCCUGUGCAGUAACAAUGAAAAAGUACGUGGAAGAAAACGUGUCCCAGACAUCAUACACGACCAUCAAGUACUUCAUGAAGAUGCUGAGCAGCGUCAGCGAGACCUUAAUCUUCAUCUUCAUGGGUGUGUCCACCGUGGGCAAGAAUCACGAGUGGAACUGGGCCUUCAUCUGCUUCACCCUGGCCUUCUGCCAAAUCUGGAGAGCCAUCAGUAAGAGAGGGCAGGGCUCCAGAGUCUCCGGUCCUGCUGCAUUUUCAGUUCUCUUAUUCCCUUCUGCAAUGUUAAAACUGGAGGACUGAGUAGAUGCUAACUGGUUUUACCGGUUAGGGUAGACUAGGCACCUGGUCGUGAGCAGGAAUCUUUUCUGUUUGUCCCCUCAGUCAGCUCAAAGUAAUUAGUGGUUGGUAAGGUUCUGCACUGAAGCAAGGCUGGGGCAAGGAGUAUUUUUUUUUAAUUGAAGAAAGAACUUUCACAUCUACCUAUUUAAAUAUAAUUCAGUCAAUGGAAAAAUACAUGUUUGUUACUUUUUAUUUGGAGUUGCACC
RNAcentral lists this small RNA (818 nucleotides) under Pongo abelii (Sumatran orangutan). RNAcentral's name for it is "retained intron". Lineage: Eukaryota; Metazoa; Chordata; Mammalia; Primates; Hominidae. The record is from RNAcentral.